GUCGAGCAAACGAAUCAAAACUUUCAACAACGGAUCUCUUGGUUCCGGCAUCGAUGAAGAACGCAGCGAAAUGCGAUAAGUAAUGUGAAUUGCAGAACCUAGUGAAUCAUCGAAUCUUUGAACGCACAUUGCGCCCUUUGGUAUUCCGAAGGGCAUGCCCGUUCGAGCGUCGUUC
Molecule: ribosomal RNA, 175 nt
Filed under: Dothideomycetes sp. L361
Lineage: Eukaryota; Fungi; Ascomycota; Dothideomycetes
Description: 5.8S ribosomal RNA
Rfam family: 5.8S ribosomal RNA (bases 19-172)
About the family: 5.8S ribosomal RNA (5.8S rRNA) is a component of the large subunit of the eukaryotic ribosome. It is transcribed by RNA polymerase I as part of the 45S precursor that also contains 18S and 28S rRNA.
Source: RNAcentral